ACAUCCAGAGAAUUUAGCAGAGAUGCUUUAGUGCCUUCGGGAACUCUGAGACAGGUGCUGCAUGGCUGUCGUCAGCUCGUGUUGUGAAAUGUUGGGUUAAGUCCCGNAACGAGCGCAACCCUUAUCCUUUGUUGCCAGCACGUAAUGGUGGGAACUCAAAGGAGACUGCCGGUGAUAAACCGGAGGAAGGUGGGGAUGACGUCAAGUCAUCAUGGCCCUUACGAGUAGGGCUACACACGUGCUACAAUGGCGCAUACAAAGAGAAGCGACCUCGCGAGAGCAAGCGGACCUCAUAAAGUGCGCCGUAGUCCGGAUUGGAGUCUGCAACUCGACUCCAUGAAGUCGGAAUCGCUAGUAAUCGUAAAUCAGAAUGUUACGGUGAAUACGUUCCCGGGCCUUGUACACACCGCCCGUCACACCAUGGGAGUGGGUUGCAAAAGAAGUAGAUAGCUUAACCUUCGGGAGGGCGUUUACCACUUUGUGAUUCAUGACUGGGGUGAAGUCGUAACAAGGUAAGCGUAGUGCU
This 526-nucleotide ribosomal RNA is filed under the name uncultured bacterium. Its description in RNAcentral is "bacterial SSU rRNA". It matches the Rfam family "Bacterial small subunit ribosomal RNA", at positions 984 to 1509 of the family's 1533-position model. The record is from RNAcentral.